This 253-nucleotide ribosomal RNA is filed under the name uncultured bacterium. RNAcentral's name for it is "partial 16S ribosomal RNA". It matches the Rfam family "Bacterial small subunit ribosomal RNA", at positions 524 to 776 of the family's 1533-position model. The record is from RNAcentral.
GACAGAGGGGGCAAGCGUUGCUCGGAAUCACUGGGCGUAAAGGGCGCGUAGGCGGGAUGGCAAGUCAGUCGUGAAAUCUCUCGGCUCAACCGAGAAACGUCGGCUGAUACUGCCGUUCUUGAGGGAUGCAGAGGAGACUGGAAUUCCCGGUGUAGCGGUGAAACGUGUAGAGAUCGGGAGGAACACCGGUGGCGAAGGCGGGUCUCUGGGCAUCUCCUGACGCUGAGGCGCGAAAGCGUGGGGAGCAAACGGG